This 1056-nucleotide ribosomal RNA is filed under the name Triticum aestivum (bread wheat). Its description in RNAcentral is "partial small subunit ribosomal RNA". The record is from RNAcentral. Lineage: Eukaryota; Viridiplantae; Streptophyta; Magnoliopsida; Poales; Poaceae.
AUGGCCACCUCGGGCGAUCAGUCGGGCGGCUGCGGGUCUGCGGCCGCGAAGGGGUCCAAACUGCGGUACCCGCUGCGGUCGGCGGGCCGGGGGAAGCUCGAGCCGCCGGCGGCGGCAGAUGCUGCUCCUAGCGGCCCUGCUUCGCGAAGGGCCAAACCAUCUUCAGAUGUCACCAAGAGCUGUGCUCUCGAUCUUUCCGCCGUGAAGGAUAAAUCAGCUAAACCUCCGCGGAGGCACUCAAUACCAACAAAGCCAGGUGUUAGUCCAAGGCCUACUCCUACUGGAACUAUUACUCCAGUGUCAGGGGUUCGCUCCAGGAGGUCAGACAGCCUUGGGAGGUUGGAUACCCCGACAUCUGAAGCAUCCAUGUCUACAGCAAGGCGCAAGUUCAGUACACUCUCCUCGGUCUCAUAUUGGAUGACACAGAUUAGGCUUGCAGAGGCUGCUUCCAAGCACUCUAUCUCCCUGGGCUUCUUCAAGCUUGCCCUUGAGUCAGAAUGCGAGCCUCUGGAUAGGAUGAGAGAAGAACUAAAGACUUAUGUGGCCAGGCAUGGCCUUGCAACAGAAUUGGAGGAGCCGGUGAAGGAGAUUCUUCAGGUUUAUGAUAUCAUGGAAGAUUUUGAGAAGCUAAAGAUCUCUCUGGACUCCUCACUGGAGCCAAAAAAGUCUGACAAGGCUGCUCUUGGUGCUGCCAAUGUGACUCCAAAGGGUAAUCUGAAACCCAGGUCUCUGAACUCUGUUGCAACUCAGAGUAAAGAUGGCAAGAAAGAGAACAUUCAGAAGGAGAAGCCUGAUGCCAAGAUCAGAGGUUCCUAUAACCGGAAUCCGGCCAAGAAUGCUCCUGCAAAAGAAGUUGCCAAAAAUACCGCCAAGAAAACCAAGAAGCAGGCUAAGGAGCAGCAAGAAGAUUGUAAUGGAGGCAGUGAGGUUUUGCCGGUUGACGCAGAUCAAGAAUCUGUUGAUGUGGUGAAGGAGAUCACAUAUGAAGAUAAGGAGAACAUGGGGGAUGCUGAGAUGGCAAUAGAUGCUGGCAACGCCAUAGCCCAAGAAGUCUAG